RNAcentral lists this ribosomal RNA (465 nucleotides) under uncultured bacterium. RNAcentral's name for it is "partial 16S ribosomal RNA". It matches the Rfam family "Bacterial small subunit ribosomal RNA", at positions 338 to 795 of the family's 1533-position model. The record is from RNAcentral.
CCUACGGGGGUCAGCAGUGGGGAAUAUUGCGCAAUGGGCGAAAGCCUGACGCAGCGACGCCGCGUGAGGGAUGAAGGUCUUCGGAUCGUAAACCUCUGUCAGCAGGGAAGAACGGUCACUGUGCUAUUCAGCAGUGAAUUGACGGUACCUGCACAGGAAGCACCGGCUCACUCAGUGCCAGCAGCCGCGGUAGUACGGCGGGUGCGACCGUGCAUCGGAAUUACUGGGCGUAAAGCGCUCGUAGGCGGUCUGUCAAGUCAAGGGUGAAUUCCCCGCGCGCAGCGUGGGAACUGCCUUUGAAACUGGCAAACCGGAGUGUGUGAGAGGAUAGUGGAAUGCCAGGUGUAGGAGUGAAGUCCGUAGAUAUCUGGAGGAACAUCAGUGGCGAAGGCGACUAUCUGGCACAUAACUGACGCUGAGGAGCGAAAGCGUGGGUAGCAAACAGGAUUAGAUACCCCGGUAGUC